RNAcentral lists this unclassified non-coding RNA (163 nucleotides) under uncultured Ascomycota. Its description in RNAcentral is "sequence contains ITS1". The record is from RNAcentral. Lineage: Eukaryota; Fungi; Ascomycota.
CAGAGUUGCAAAACUCCCCAAACCAUUGUGAACGUACCCUUGAUCGUUGCUUCGGCGGGCGGCCCCGAGCCCCGGGGCCUCCGCCUUCGCAGGCGCCCGCCGGAGCGUACGUAACUCUUGAACUUUGCAUGGCCUCUCUGAGUCUAUUGUACUGAAUAAGUUA